AAAAAUGUAAAAGAAAAAAGUCUGGUGCAUGUGCUGCCGCAGCCCGAGCUCACCCCUUCCACCGGCCCUUUUACCCAAAUGUACGCAUUUUCCAUGAUGUUCUUCAAGGAAGUAUUUGACAACAUUGCAGCCCAGGAAUCUCCAGCCCUCUUCCCGGAUUACUUCAUGCACAUAAAAGAAAACGCAACUACAGUGGACCCUGAACAACGUAGGUAUGAACUGGUUCAACACGGGUUUGAGUCCACGUAUCCAUUUAUAUGUGAAUUUUUUUCAACCAAACAAGGAUGGAAAUACGAUGUUCGUGGAUGUGAAACCUGCACACACAGAGGGCUGACUGUUGGUAUCGUGGGUUCCACAGGGCUGGCUGCAGGACUAGAAUAUGCACAGAUUUGAUAUAUUGAGGGGUCCUGGAACCAAGUCUGCGAGUAUAGCAAGGAAAGAGUGUGUAUAUCUUAUUCCUCCUACACAAAAGUUAGUGCGUCAUACACACCAUUUUGCAGUUUGGCUCUCCCCCUAACAAUAUACCUUGGUGCUCCUUCCCUGUCAGCCCCCACAGAGCUUCCUCCAUCUUGGUGGCAGCUGUGUGAUAUUUAGUCUACUACCAUUUAUUUAACCAAGCUCCAUUGAUGGACAUUUGGCUGGUCACACACCCUGGCUGUUACAUCCUGUGGCCUCUCUCUGUCCCAUCUUCUAGAUCGCCUCCACCCUGCUUCCCUUGUCCUCACACCACACUCCAGCCCAGGAACCAGCCAAGUAAAGGGAGUACCCUUUCUCUUUUAGAAGGUGGGGCAAGAGGAUGGUGGUGAACAUUUUCCUUCUUUCACACACACAUGCCUUGGCAUUGCGUUUGCCUGCAUGCAGCUAUGGCCUGCAGCCACUGAAGAAUGCUUGCAUAAGGAGCUCUUCUCUGCACAUACCCCGACACAGUGAUGGUAUCUUGCAGCUGCUGCUUCUGUCCAAGGCACUGCAGCCUACUCGUCAAAAGCCCGAAGCCCAGCUCUGCCAGCAGUGCACUGUGUGCUCUUAGGUAAUCGCCUGGCUUCAGGACAAUGGGACAGUAACAGCUAACACUGGGACGGAGGUGCUUAUCAUGUACCCAGAACUACUCUUAAGAGCAUUGCAUAUUUAGCCUUAUUUGCUUAAAACAACAUUUUGAGGUCAGUCACAUACUUUCUCCACUGUGUCUUUCUGAGUCACAGAGAGGUUAAGUAACUUGUGCAAGGUCACACUGCUCAGCAGAACUAAGACUCAAUCUUAGCAAUCCAGAUCUAGGUUAUUAUGAGGGUUAAAGGUAUCAGUGAGCAGAACGCACUUGGACCCAGUACACAGCAGGUGCUCAUUGAAGCUUAGCUCUUGUCAUCAUGACUUGCCUAAGGAAUUGGGAUAUGGCUGGUCUUGCUUAGGUGGGGAGGAAGGAGAACUGAAAAAUACAACCCACACUUAGAAAAGUCUAAGAUUCCAAUUUACUCUGCCAAAUUUUUGAAAGCUCUGGAUUCAUGGAAGAGGAGGAGGGAGAGCAGCUAAGAGCAGCUCCUGCUGGGAUCAGGUGGGAAGUGCUGGGUGGGGUGAGUGAGCCCGGGUCACUCUGUUAUUACAAGCCCCGCCCGAGAAGCCUGGCUUCCCGUCUGACCUCCGAUCGUGCUAGCACAGGGCUCCGUCAACGUGAAAUGUGCAAAUGAUUUGGCGUCCCCCCUCCCUUGCUUUUCUUUGCAGGAAACAGAGAAGCAAAGAAGUUAGCAAGCUUGUUUUGGCAGAAGAAAAAACACAAAAUACCCAACCACAGAUCCUCAAAAAUAUUGCUAAGCACUAAUUUUGCUAACAUGUUAGACAGCCUUCGGAUCUAGGCAAUCUUGUUCCUCAGCUGGAAAGAGUUCCUGCCAGCCAUGUGAUUCCAAAUCCACCCUGGACAUAUGGGGAUAAUGAGAAAAUCAGCUCCGGCCUUCCCUGGCCUUCCAGCCAAGUGAAUGGGGGCAUCCCCUGGUGCUUCAGCCCGGGGCCCACCCAGAGGAUGCUAGCUGGCCUGCAGAGGCCUCAACCAUGCCCUCCUGGACUCAGGUAAGACUGAGGUUUCCAUGCCCUCAAAACAAUUGUUCAGACAAAAACUCACUGCCCAGGUCAAAGUCACAGCACCAGAAAGCCAACCUGAGGAUGAAGACAAAGCUCUUUGUUGGCACAGUCCCCUGAUCAUUCGAGGUCAGCAUCUCCAUCAAAAUGGACCCAAUGCUGAGGCAAGAAGGAGAACAUCACUGUUAAGAAGGUAAUGAGUCACAAAUGCUAUUUCGAUGGUUUUCUUUGAAAGAAAUACACAGAACCAAACCAAUUUUAAUUAAAGAUCUUGUCUUUGUAAUCAGGCAGCCACAAAUGAAGGCAAAACUGCUUUCAUGUGGCAUAAUAUACACAGAGCUGAACUAGUUUUCCCAUAAAAGGGCAGGUUCUUUUCUUCAAAUAAGAAAAGAGUUUGUUCCUAACAAUAUGGGGGAUGCAACAGAAAGCUGUCUUUUGCAAAGUAUAAAAUUGCAGAUCCUCCCGUGGAAGCCAUUUCUUGAUGCUAAACCAAUGCGAACGUUUGCCAAACGCACAUGCGAGCCGGGAUUAUCCUACCCUUUGAGAUUAGACAUGUGAUCCUGAUUUUUAAGUGAAAAACGCAGCCAGAGGCCAAAUAAACAUACCUACAAGUACAUCGAAAGCUCAAAUGGUUGAGAAAUGAUUGUAACACACCCCGGUGUGUAUUUCUGAGGAAGAAUCAACAUGCACAUGGAAAUUGAUGUUUUGAUUUUUAAUUUUAAAACGACGACAGAACUGAAAUACCUCCCCUAACUAGGUCCACUGAAACCAGUGAGGAGAUAAUCAUUUUCAGUUAAAUAUGCAUGUAAUUUAAUAAUCCACAGAUGGAAAAUGCAUUUGAGGUGGACUGAACACAGCCAGGAGUUUUUGCUUAUCGACAGCACUGAAUCCUGCCUUGACUAGAGAGACUCGUCAUGUGAUCAACUGUGGCCAGAGGGCAUCCUGCAGACAGCUCCUGUCACACCACACUGACCAGACUCUUAUGAGUAUUUAAGCAUCUUCAGGGAAGCGAUUGACUGUCUUAUAAUGGUCUUACAAGUACGGAACUUUAUUACCUGCUAAUAAUCAGAGCACAUGAUGGCACAAUAGAAUAUACGAGUGAAGUUCUAAAUGCAAGGUUGUUCUUAUUCUGUGAGUGGCAAAACUCAUGCAGUGAGCAGAUAAAGCUGGCAGGAGGCAUUGGCGCCCUAAUGCUGGGCACUAACCACCUGCCCGGACUGCGAAUAUCUGUUGGGUCCUUUCUAUAUCUGGUCUAUUCUCGUGUUUGAUUAUAUCCUGGUGGCAAGAAUAGCAAAAUCAACUCUCCUUCCUAUCCCAUGUGGAGAGGCAUGAUUUGAGUCAGAGAGCAUUAUCCUCUCUGCGUUAUCCAACCCCAUGUCCCAUGAUGCACUUUGUAGACAAGCAAGUGUCCCUGGUGGAGAAUCCACAGCCACACAUCCUCAUUGGUUGCAAGGAUCAGUGUCCAAUAUCUACUGCCAUGAUCAUUCUCAGUUUUACAUCCACAGAGCUUCAUAGAAUUCUAACACCACAGGUCCAAGUAGAGGUUUUGGCCUCAGAGUGGGCUAGAUUCCACCUCUGACAGCAGCUGUGGGACUGUUUUUCCAUCUGUAAAAUGGAGACAAGAGUAUCACCUACCUCAUGGUGUUGGUGGGAUCGUUAAACAGAAUUCCGAUCAUGAAACCCUUAGCCUGCUCCCUGCAUAGGCUGCAUGCGCUCAGUGAGCUAUGGCUCUGUUUCAUGCUGACUUUACCAUCAUGUAAGCAGUUUUAAAAAUGCUAGAAGCUUUAGUCAUAGAAUUACCAUAUGAUACAGCCUACUGCAGAGUCCAGAGGCUGAGGCAGGAGAGUUACUUGAACCUGGGAGGCGGAGGUUGCAGUGAGCCAAGAUCGCGCCACUGCACUCCAGCCUGGGCAACAGAGUGAGAUUCUGUCUCAACACAAAAAAGAAGACAUGUGUCCCCAUCACAGUAUCAUACAGAGUGCUUCCACUGCCCUAAAAUACCCUGUGCUCUUCCUAUUCAUCCCUCUCUUCAACCCCAGCAACCACUGAUCCUUUUACCAUCUCCAUGGUUUUGCCUUUCCCAGAAUGUCAUAUUGUUGGAAUCAUACGCUAUGUAGCCUUUGCAAAUGGGCUUCUUUCACCGAGCAAUGUGCAUUGAAGGUGCCUCUAUGACUUUUCAAGGGUUGAUAGCUCAUUCCUUUUUAUUGCUAAAUAAUAUUCCAUUGUCUGAAUGUACCACAUUUUGUUUAUCCAUUCACCUACUAAAGGACAUCUUGGUUGCUUCCAAGUUUGGGCAAUUAUAAAUAAAACUGCUAUAAACAUUG
RNAcentral lists this long non-coding RNA (4388 nucleotides) under Homo sapiens (human). Its description in RNAcentral is "HSALNT0387605". The record is from RNAcentral. Lineage: Eukaryota; Metazoa; Chordata; Mammalia; Primates; Hominidae.